UUUAAUAUGUUUUUAUAUUUAAGUUUAUUUUUGGCUUUAUUUUAUUUUCAUACUUUAUUUUCAGCUUAAACAAUUUUUUGAUACAUUGUCAUUAUGCAGACUAUAACUUGAGCUUCGAGAAUCGGAUUGAGCUUUCUAAUAUGCAUUGGAAAGUUAAGAUAAAUAUAUAUAAGUUUUAUGUUGAAGUAAAAAGCUGAUUCAGAGUAAAGGAGGGUCUAAUAAUUCGUUGAAG
This 232-nucleotide long non-coding RNA is filed under the name Lathyrus oleraceus (garden pea). RNAcentral's name for it is "Pisum sativum (pea) long non-coding RNA (PSAT_LNC000616)". The record is from RNAcentral. Lineage: Eukaryota; Viridiplantae; Streptophyta; Magnoliopsida; Fabales; Fabaceae.